GAUGAACGCUGGCGGCGUGCCUAAUACAUGCAAGUCGAGCGAACGGACGAGAAGCUUGCUUCUCUGAUGUUAGCGGCGGACGGGUGAGUAACACGUGGAUAACCUACCUAUAAGACUGGGAUAACUUCGGGAAACCGUAGCUAAUACCGGAUAAUAUUUUGAACCGCAUGGUUCAAAAGUGAAAGACGGUCUUGCUGUCACUUAUAGAUGGAUCCGCGCUGCAUUAGCUAGUUGGUAAGGUAACGGCUUACCAAGGCAACGAUGCAUAGCCGACCUGAGAGGGUGAUCGGCCACACUGGAACUUAGACACGGUCCAGACUCCUACGGGAGGCAGCAGUAGAGAAUCUUCCGCGAUGGGCGAAAGCCUGACGGGGCAACGCCGCGUGAGUGAUGAAGGUCUUCGGAUCGUAAAACUCUGUUAUUAGGGAAGAACAUAUGUGUAAGUAACUGUGCACAUCUUGACGGUACCUAAUCAGAAAACCACGGCUAACUACGUG
RNAcentral lists this ribosomal RNA (497 nucleotides) under uncultured bacterium. RNAcentral's name for it is "partial 16S ribosomal RNA". It matches the Rfam family "Bacterial small subunit ribosomal RNA", at positions 28 to 507 of the family's 1533-position model. The record is from RNAcentral.